GCUUGUCUCAAAGAUUAAGCCAUGCAUGUCUUAGUGUAAAUAACUCUUAUGAAACUGCGAAUGGCUCAUUAAAUCAGUUAUCAAAUACGUGAUGGUCGCCUACUACAUGGAUAACCGUAGUAAUUCUAGAGCUAAUACAUGCGUCAAGUCCCUACCGCGCGAGCGGGAAGGAUGUGUUUAUUAGAUACAACCAACCCUUCGGGUCCCUGGUGAAUCAUAAUAACCGAACGAACCGCAUGCUUCGGCGGCGGUGGUUCAUUCAAGUUUCUGCCCUAUCAGCUUUCGAUGGUAGGGUAUUGGCCUACCAUGGCGUUAACGGGUAACGGAGAAUUAGGGUUCGAUUCCGGAGAGGGAGCCUGAGAGAUGGCUACCACAUCCAAGGAAGGCAGCAGG
This 393-nucleotide ribosomal RNA is filed under the name Adriamonas peritocrescens. Its description in RNAcentral is "partial small subunit ribosomal RNA". It matches the Rfam family "Eukaryotic small subunit ribosomal RNA", at positions 30 to 432 of the family's 1831-position model. The record is from RNAcentral. Lineage: Eukaryota; Bigyra; Bicosoecida; Siluaniidae.